UACGUAGGCAGCAAGCGUUGUUCGGAAUUACUGGGCGUAAAGAGUGUGUAGGCGGUGUUCUAAGUCUGGUGUGAAAUCUCCCGGCUCAACUGGGAGGGUGCGCUAGAAACUGGAAUGCUAGAGGAUGGGAGAGGUAAGCGGAAUUCCUGGUGUAGCGGUGAAAUGCGUAGAUAUCAAGAGGAACACCUGUGGUGUAGACAGCUUACUGGACCAUUUCUGACGCUGAGACACGAAAGCGUGGGUAGCAAACAGG
Molecule: ribosomal RNA, 253 nt
Filed under: uncultured bacterium
Lineage: Bacteria
Description: partial 16S ribosomal RNA
Rfam family: Bacterial small subunit ribosomal RNA
Source: RNAcentral